CGCCGCUGAGAGGGUGGACGGCCACAUUGGGACUGAGACACGGCCCAAACUCCUACGGAAGGCAGCAG
Molecule: ribosomal RNA, 68 nt
Filed under: uncultured bacterium
Lineage: Bacteria
Description: partial 16S ribosomal RNA
Source: RNAcentral